Molecule: ribosomal RNA, 561 nt
Filed under: uncultured archaeon
Lineage: Archaea
Description: bacterial SSU rRNA
Rfam family: Archaeal small subunit ribosomal RNA
Source: RNAcentral
CGGGGUGCACCAGGCGCGAAAACUUUGCAAUGCGGGAAACCGUGACAAGGGAACUCUGAGUGCCCGUAAAAUCGGGCUGUCCAUCGGUUUAAAUAACCGGUGAAGAAAGGGCCGGGCAAGACCGGUGCCAGCCGCCGCGGUAAUACCGGCGGCUCGAGUGGUGGCCACUAUUACUGGGCUUAAAGCGUUCGUAGCUGGUUUGUUAAGUCUCUGGGGAAAUCUUCCGGCUUAACCGGAAGGCGUCUCAGGGAUACUGGCAGACUAGGGACCGGGAGAGGUGAGAGGUACUCCAGGGGUAGGAGUGAAAUCCUGUAAUCCUUGGGGGACCACCUGUGGCGAAGGCGUCUCACCAGAACGGCUCCGACAGUGAGGGACGAAAGCUGGGGGAGCAAACCGGAUUAGAUACCCGGGUAGUCCCAGCUGUAAACGAUGCGCGUUAGGUGUAUCAGUGACCACGAGUCACUGAGGUGCCGAAGAGAAAUCGUGAAACGUGCCGCCUGGGAAGUACGGUCGCAAGGCUGAAACUUAAAGGAAUUGGCGGGGGAGCACAAGGGCGAAUNG